GACGAACGCUUGCGACGUGCCUGAGAAAUGCAAGUCGAGCGGUGUAGUUUGCUUCGGUAGACUACAUAGCGGCGAACGGUCGAGUAACACGUAACCGACCUGCCUUUGGGUCUGGGAUAGCCCUCCGAAAGGGGGAGUAAUACCGGAUGGUUUCACGAGAGUGCAUGCUUUUGUGAAUAAAGCUUUAUGUGCCCAUAGAGGGGGUUGCGGCCUAUCAGCUGGUUGGUGAGGUAACGGCUCACCAAGGCGACGACGGGUAGCUGGUCUGAGAGGAUGGUCAGCCGGAUUGGGACUGAGACACGGCCCAAACUCCGUACGGGGGCAGCAAUCAGGAAUCUUGCGCAAGUGGGGGAACCCUGACGCAGCGACGCCGCGUGUGGGAU
RNAcentral lists this ribosomal RNA (383 nucleotides) under uncultured bacterium. Its description in RNAcentral is "bacterial SSU rRNA". It matches the Rfam family "Bacterial small subunit ribosomal RNA", at positions 28 to 409 of the family's 1533-position model. The record is from RNAcentral.